This is a long non-coding RNA of Triticum aestivum (bread wheat), 7661 nucleotides long. RefSeq lists it as uncharacterized. Lineage: Eukaryota; Viridiplantae; Streptophyta; Magnoliopsida; Poales; Poaceae. The record is from RefSeq and is a predicted model, not a curated record. The transcript is spliced from 6 exons.
GAAACCAACGAAAAAAAAUCGAGGCCCCCUCGCACGAACCAGGAGCGAGGCCUCCAGUCUGCCCUCGAUCGUCUCGCUACGAGGACGAGAACCACGCCCCAGCCGCCGGAGCCCUACGCCGCCGCCGAGAUCGGAGAGGAGCCGCCGCCGCCGACGUUCGAGAGGAGCUGGCAACCACGACCUCCCUCCCCAGCUGGCCGCCACCACCCCCUCCCCAAGCAGCCAUGUACAGCACGGCGGCGCCCACGCGCCUGGCCUAGGUGGGUCUCGGCCUCCCUCCUCCCUUCGUCGAAGGCCAGGAGCUCCCCCUCCCCGACCCGAUCUGGUGGAGAGAGGGCCAGGCCUUGCCACUCCGGUGGUCGCUGUGGCCAGAUCUGUCCGGGGUAGUCGCCGUAGAGCCUCUACGGCGGCGGAGUAGCAGCAGCCCGACAGAAGGUGGGUGCCAGAUCGUCGUCCAGCAACUCGCCGUCGGAGCUUCUCACUGGAGGCGAUGGAGGCCAGAAGCAGCCGUCGUUGCCAGGCGGUGAGCAUUUCCUCUUGAUUUCCCCCCUCGUAUCUGACUUCUUGUAGUUGCGCUCCCUUGUGCUCCAACGAUUCAGUCCCCGCUCCAUGGUUGUAUUAGUUCAGUCGAGUUCCCUUGCUAACCCCUCGUGGUUCACUGAUUCGUUGUGCUAGGUCGAUCAUCACAGAUGGAAAACGAGGUCCAGCCAAAAUGUCUCAGAUCGGCAGAUCCUUAGUGGACUGCUUUCCUCAUGUCGACACAGUCUGCGAGGUGGAAGAUCCAUAGCAUACAGAUGCUAUCUUGGGUACGACUGAGCAGUCUCGGAUAUACUUUAACCCAGACAUCAACGCAACAAAUAACUUGAUUAUAAGGUACAAUCAUGAUUACCAAUGCCUAGCUAUUUUUUGAUCUUGACUAACACAAAGGGUAUAAUGUGUAGUUUCAGGGAGCCGUGUAGUUUCAGGGAGCCCCGUUGCUUUCUCAUAGAAUUUGUUCAGAUAUAAAUUUGCCUAUUACCAACAAUACAUUGAAUUAUAAUUAUAAUAUUGCAGGAACAAAUGUCAUGUGAAGCAAAUAAUUUCCUUAGAAAAAAGUAAGCUCCGUUUGCACUAUUAAUUAGCUUCUUGAGUUAUUUUGCUUGACAGGAGAAAUGGACUUGUUUUUUCUAUGGCCUAAUUGAACAGUAAGGGUCUCUCCUACUUUCAUUUCUAAGAAAACAAAUAAACCUACAUACGGACCUACAUACGUCUUUCAUAUGAAAUAAUUUGUGCUUACGGGAGCCGGCAUAAACCAGUGUGAGAUUACCAUUUGAACUUCUGCAUAUGGCCCAUUAAUGUGGUCAAAGCAAGUUCUGUGGUCAGUACUCAAUUUGGUCAGUGAGCUAAACGUCAACGUGGUCAGUACUCUAUUUGGUGAAAGCAAGGUCUAACAAAUAUUUAGCCGCAGGUUUCUUAUACUACUUUUAAUUUAAACCAAGACAAUUUGGUCCAUUGUUAGGAAAAGUUAAGGAUUAUGAGCGAGAAAGUGGAGAGAAAAAAGGUACUUAUCAGCGGCAGGGGCGCGAGUAGGAUGCCCUUUCCCAGGGAACUAAAGUAGGAUUUGUCUUUACAACGCUGUUGUCGCAGUGUUCUCAUUCUGAAGGCGCCGACAGACCAUGAUACUUGAAGAUAUGGACGUGCCAAAUCUGCGCCGACCUCCUCUACGUGAUAUCUCUAAUGUUGAUCAUCAUUCCCAAAUGUCUCCAGUGCCAGGUAAAUGCACAUGAUUGCUUAUGGUUUAUCGCAUUGGGUCAUAUAGUUUACCUGUUUUUGCAUUGAAAUUGACUACAAAAUUAGUGAGCUCAGAGAACUUAACCCUGUUUGGAUCCGGUUGGGAAUGGGUAAAUCUUGCUAAGCAACUACGAGAGCGCAACAGAACUAAGCUGAUGGGGAUGCGAGAAACUACCAAAGACGACACCUGGUCGACAAAGAUGGAUGCGAGCAUCUGUCAGUGGUAGAAGAGAUGAAUCACAAAAGUAAAGCUUACAGUCAAAAAUAUGUGAAGCUCGGGAGGGCAUGGUGCUCAAAUACGUGUACCUCGAAACUUAAUUUUGUUCGCCUGCAUCAAUCAUCCAGUUCUGGUCUGACUUCAUUUUGCAAGAUGCAGAAGCAGUACUCCAAGACAUGCAUGGCUCAUCUACUCCAGAUACAAGUCCUACAAGCUUUAAGUGUUGAUCGUACAAGCCUGCUCCUAAACUUUCAGAGUACAAGCCCUAAACAAUUAUUUAUGCACAUUUCAGAGUUGACAGCAUGCAUCAUCUUCUCCUAAAUAAUUUUUGCAUCAUCUAAAUACUCUAACUACUGCAUCAUCUAUCUGCAUCAUCUGUGUACUCUUAACUAUUGCAUCAUCAACAAUAUUCAGUAAAUACUCUAACUGAACUAGGUGAUUCAAGCACAUGCAUCACUACACUGGAGUACUCUGCACAUGCAUCUCUACAUUGGAGUACUCCUAGCACAAGCGUCAAGGAAUCAUCUACUCCAUCUGCAAUACUCCUAAAAUGAAAAAUAAAAUAAACUGCUAAGCAUUACUCCUUCUGAAAAACAUAUGAAAAUAAUAAUAUGCUAAACUAAAAAGAAUCAUCUGCUAAACUGAACUAUGGCUUCAGUUAUGUUCAUUUUAGCAGCAGUACUACAACAUCUACUCUAGCAACAAUAAAGGAUGAGUAAAUGUUGGAAUUUCAAACCAUGUACACUAUGCAACAGUACAAUCCAUAAAAAAUAGUGCUACUCCUUUCAGUUACAAAGACCAUCCCUACUACUCCCUCCGUUCGGAAUUAGUUGUCGCAAAAAUAGAUGUAUCUAGAUGUAUUUUAGUUCUAGAUACAUCCAUUUCCGAGACAAGUAAUUCCGAACGGAGGGAGUAUAUUGCAAAAACUAGACUGAGGAGACGCAGUACUGUAAGUGUCGGAUAAGCAACAUGAAAAUCAAUGUUGGAGUAAUUGUCUUACACCUAAUCAGUGCAGACGCAGCAACCGCAUCUUCACGAGCUGCCUCGUCGUCCAUAUCCCACAGUUCUUCCCUUCGCAACAUACAUCCUACUCCCAUCUGCAUCCCAUCAAGAAUCACAACCAUAUCCCAUCUGCAUCCAUAUCCCAUCCUCACAAGAAUCACAGCAUACUAUACUCCUAAUCAAGAAUCUACCCACGCAGACAGUACGAGAAAGAUGCACACCUCGUGGGUCUUGCCGUCGAGCGUAGAGCAUGGUAGUCGACUGGGACGGGUGCGGGCUCGCUCUCAGGUGCCGUCGAGAUGGAGGGGGGCUCCAUCGAAGAGAGCCUGUCGGGGACGGCAGCGUCCAGUACGGGCGCUCCUCCUUGCAGGUCGAGGGCGAUGAGGAGCGCCGGCGUUCAUUGCAGCCGUUGUCGGGUAGGAGAAGUCCGCCCUGCCCGCGCUCCGCCUGCUCCUCCUCAACCUCGGUAAAGAAAUCUUUGGAGCAGGCGACGCGUGCGAGAGGGAGAGAAGGUGGCGACGCGCGUCCGUCGGAGGGAGGCGGCGACGCGGGCGAGAGGGAGGCGGUUCGUCGGACUAGAGCUAGGGAUUUGGUGGAGGGGAAUGAGAGAGUGGUGCGGAGAGAGUGAGGGGAACGAGAGCGUUGUGCGGCGUCCGGUGUUGUGCUAUAUUGGGAAGUAAAGAAAAACCGAUACGCGACAGAAAACGUGCAAUGAUCCAGAAAAGUGUGUUAUGUAGUACUUUUCAGCGAUAUAUUUUGUUAGAGCAUUUACAAUCGGACUUGGCAAAUCCGGCCCCUUAAACACCCGCGGACGUGCCCGGGUGCGUCCGUGGGCAGUGACCGGGCACUCCUAAAAAAAUACAAUCCACAUCCGGACACCUCAAUUAGCAUAUCUCAAAUCCAUACAAACUCAUGCAACUACGUCGACACAUACGCAUCGUCCGGCUACUCCAUCACACUACACUAAACAUGCCAUCGGACUACCAAAAUUUGGCAUGUUUGGCUAUGGUGGAGUUCAUCCACGGCUGCCCUUGCCCUUCCCGACGCCCUUGUCGUCCUUCUCGCGGAAGUAUCGGUCGAAGACGCAGUACGGAUCGAGCCGGAUCUGCUCGUCACCGGAGCUGUCCUCGCAGUCGUUGUCCUCCUUCUCCUCCUUCGGUGGCAGUCCGUUCAUGGCACAGACCGCCCGAUUCUGCUAUAGGGCGAGGGCGCGCGUGGUCCUCCGCUGCAGUUUCUUACAAAUGUGGGCGUGGAUGGCUUCCUCCUCUUCGGCCGCCCUCGUCGUUGCAUCAGCCGCCUUCGCCGCCGCCAUUUCCGCCGCUAUACCAGCCUCAGCGGCCCUUAUCGUCUCCUUCCCACAGCGUGCUGCCUGUUCCCGGUGAGACUCGUAGUCUGCCCGACCGGUGAUGGGGAAGGAGAAGUGUUUCGGCUGCCGGGACCGCGAGGAUCCAGCACCAGAGGACCUGAGCGCCCGGUGAGCAGACGCUAUGGCUUCACGACGGACGGAUCCAUCUGUCGGUCGGGUGCUGUCCUCCCAGGGGCUGCGGAGUGUGUGGACUGCCAUUGCCUCCUCCAACCCACACGGGAUGACACCCCAGUCGACGGAUCUGGACUGGUCGGAGUCCGAUCCGCUCUCUACCAUGGCGGAGAAGAUCGAAAUCCGUCGGAGGUGAGCUCGGGUGGCGGAGGGAAGGGGAGAGGAGUGGAGUGAUGUGGCUAGGGUUUGCUCCGGCAAGCGGAUGGGGAUGAAUAUAAGUGGGGUCUGGUGGGCCAGUAUGGGCCGGGUCCGACGUGGCGGGCAUGCCGGGGCGCCCCCAUAUCCGCCCCAUAUUUAGCUGGAUAUGGGGGUGCCGGUUAGCCCGGGCGUUUCAGGUCCGUCUGAGAGGCCCGUCAGUGUCAAAAAAUCAUGAUCGGUCAGUGAUCGGGCGGCCAGCCCGGGCGUAUGAGGGGUGACCCAUUUCUUAUAGAAAAAUCGGUUGUUUUUUUAUAUGAAGGGAAAUCAACUAUUUGCUCAUAGAGAAAUGUAACAUAUUUUUAUAGUGAACAAUAUCACAUACCUUAAAUAAUAAAUUCCCGAGAAGGGAAAUCAACAAUUUUCUCCUAGAACAAUAUCAUGAACAAGUGAUUUAUAAGUUAGCCUAAAUUUAUUAAAAUCAGGAUGCAACUUAUAAAUCAUUAAACGUUUUAUGAUAUUUUUUAUGCGGUUGUUACUUUUGACCAAUAGAGCCGCAUUAAACUUCAUUGUCCUUCUGGCACAACUAUUUACAUCUCACACAUAAUGCUUACUUCUUAAAUGCCGUAGUUUAAUUGGAAGAGGGAAGGGAGGGAGGGAGAGAGAGAAUGUUGCAUUGCAGCGAGAGAGGCAAAGGGAGGGAGAAGUUAAACAGUGUGAGAUGUAAAUCAAGUGCAUGGUUAAAGUCUGGGUGGAGAUGGAAGGUCUGAUUGCGAUCUAGAUGCACCAUUCAAAAAUGUGGUGAGCCUGGGCUCGGGAGGAAGAGAGGCAAAGAUAAUGGGUGGAGGAAGAUAAGGAAAAGAGUAAUUUAACGGUAAAAAAGACAAUAUUCGCUGAUGUACAUGAGGAAACUAAAGGUACUCCACUUGUUCUAAAUUAAUGUAUCUUUCUCACGAAUCAAUGUGGAACUGUGUAUUGACAUUCCUCCUUAUCUGGAAUCUCCAUUUGCACCAUCUAGAAGAAAAAUUGAGGAAGAGACUAAAAGGCACAUACAUGAGUAGCCUGAUUCUUGUCUUAGAAAGUUGAUUCUUAUAUAUAUGUCUUGGAUUAAAAAGAGCAUGAGAACUUGCCAAGCCAUCUGAAUAUGCCAUCAUAGCCAAAACUUUUUUUAGGUUGCUGACAACAUUGAGCUGGACUUGCUUUUGUUGCUACUAUUGCUGAAAACAAACUCCAGAAAAGGGAGUGAAAGCAGAAAGAAGAGAGGUUGCACAAGAUGAGUAAUGAUGGGUAGCAAUAGAGGCCGAAGCUGUGAUGAUGAUGCGGAUCUGACCCCAUUAGUAUGUUUCCCAUCAAGGAAACCUACAAAUUCUAUUAUGAUACAAAUUUUCUAUUAUGAGGUGUGUUUCUCAUAAAGAAUGUGAUUUCUGCAUGAUAGUUUUCUAAAAAUGUGAAGGUUUUAUGCAAAGACUGACAUUUUAGAAGGAUGUAGUAAAAUAUAAACCUUGGUAGGUACUCCUGAAGUUGAAGCUGCUCAAGCAAUAGUAAUUUUUUCCGAGCACUGAACUAUUGUUUCUGGUUUUGCUUAUUGUUAUUCCUCGUAGGAUGUUCAAGAGGAACACCCUUUAAAUUUUGUACUUGUCAUAGCUUCAGGUCCACUUGUGAGCCCUUAUGCAAUUUUGCUUAAGUUAGAUUAGGAUGGGUUCCUUUGACCUUAUGGUCAUGUAUAUAACAACGAGGACCUAUUACGUAUCCUUUUUCCCCUCAGAAAUCUUUAGGUACAAUUGCAUGGUUACGUGCUUCGAAUUAAAAGCGUGUAUGGCAGGUGGUGGAAGGAAAGAUUGCAAGUCAGAUGCACCACUGGUAUACAGUAGACACAAAUUCGUGUUAAACCGUUGAAAUGUUUAUGACCCGUUCCAAUGCACGGGCAGUCAACUAAUUCGGUACACCAUCAUCUCUCCAGGUAGUGAUAGUCGUCUCAUUUUUUAAAUCAAAUGUACAAUAUGCCAUCAUCUUUUGGAGUAUGUGGGAAAGUUUAGAAGAGAUGCAAGAAAUGGUGCAGUGAGAUGACACGCCUUGUCAGAGAUAAUAAAAAUUGAUGGCUUUGGAUGAUGCUUUGAAAAUGUCGAUUGAGAAAGUCACGGAUGUAACUAUGAGCUACUGGACUCAAAAGUCAUCCAGUUUUACACGAUGAGAUGCAUAUAAAUAAUUAUUCUUUCUUGUAUAUAUGUUGCACAUGAUAAUACUUUUUUUGUGGGGUAUGAGAGAGAUGGAGAUAGAUUACGUUGAUGCUCAAAAAGAAUCCUUCGACAAGGGCCGGAUCAAUUUCAUUGGAAGGAGCCAAAACUACAUCGAGUUUUAUACAACAACAUAAUCUAUCUCCAUUGCUAAAAACCUAAAAAGCCUGUGGCAACGCACGAGCAUAUUACUGGAGGUCAACAUGAGAUCAGAAAAUUUUCGAGAAGGAAACUAUCCAGACAUUGGCAAUAUUUUUUGAUAACUGGCGUGAGAUGGACAACGACAUCUCAUCGUCCAACAUGGUAAGUAAAAUAUUUUGUUUAUUGUUAUCAUGGUUUAUUGUUGUUUCUAAUAACUCCACUUGUAGUUUUAUCUUCCCUAUGCAUCCAUCGGCCGAUACAACUUAUACGUCAUUGACAAAGAGGUAUGUCGUCUAUAUAUUAUGGACCCUGUUCAAACAUCACAAUCGUCACAGGAUAAAAAUUUGAGGCAAUGCACUGAAAUUAAAAAGUUUUGCAAGGGAUUUCAAAGAAUCACUCGAAAUAAAGCUGUCUGGUUGGAAUUCCGAUAUAUCUAAAUGGCAACGUUUAUUUCCGUUUGGUAUUCCAACGAGUAUAGACGGGUAAUGAAUUCAUAAUAAAAACAUUUAUUUUUGUUAUCACUAUUUUUUUAUAUUACUAAUUUAAAAAAUUGCUGGAAUGUGUCUGGUUAUUUUGUUUUUCAUUUUAUGCUCUGGUGGAACGGUGAAGAAUUGGGGAAGUCGGU